This 73-nucleotide transfer RNA is filed under the name Felis catus (domestic cat). It matches the Rfam family "tRNA". Rfam says of the family: Transfer RNA (tRNA) molecules are approximately 80 nucleotides in length. Their secondary structure includes four short double-helical elements and three loops (D, anti-codon, and T loops). Further hydrogen bonds mediate the characteristic L-shaped molecular structure. tRNAs have two regions of fundamental functional importance: the anti-codon, which is responsible for specific mRNA codon recognition, and the 3' end, to which the tRNAs corresponding amino acid is attached (by aminoacyl-tRNA synthetases). tRNAs cope with the degeneracy of the genetic code in two manners: having more than one tRNA (with a specific anti-codon) for a particular amino acid; and 'wobble' base-pairing, i.e. permitting non-standard base-pairing at the 3rd anti-codon position. The record is from Rfam by way of RNAcentral. RNAcentral also lists the same sequence under 4 other names. Lineage: Eukaryota; Metazoa; Chordata; Mammalia; Carnivora; Felidae.
GCCUGGCUGGCUCAGUUGGUGGAGCAUGUGACUCUUGAUCUCAGGGUUGGGAGUUUGAGCCCCACGUUAAGCA